UGUCCCAUGACAGACACACCCGCUCUAUCACAAAUAUUGAGUGACUCCCUGAGCAGUAGCAAUAAAGGAUUCCCCAAAGGGGGAAUACCUGAGCAGGCCAAACCCAGGACAAUAACCUUAUAACAGAAAGUGCUACGGAUGUUUUAGUGACCACAGAUAGUAAGGACUUCAGUUUUAACCAGAUGGUAGUAAGAAGGCACCUCCCAGCACCAUACCAAGACUGAAUGAAAUAGAAAUUCUGCUCUUGGAAUUGAGCUGACAAUAUUGUUGCACAAGACUGAAGAGAGAGUGUGUGUGUGUGUAUACGUACUGUGCUGGCUGUGUGGAGCCACAAGGAAUUUAAAACAUAUUGAAUCAUUAUGAAACUCAUCUUAUGUUACUGAGCAGUUGUGAUUCCAAGACACACAAUGAACAGAAAUGCCAAAUAAGGAAGGGCCAUUAUUUUGCAAAGUCAUUUUGCUGGCUGUAACCACAUUUGAA
This is a long non-coding RNA of Malaclemys terrapin pileata, 480 nucleotides long. RefSeq lists it as uncharacterized. The transcript has 3 exons. The record is from RefSeq and is a predicted model, not a curated record. Lineage: Eukaryota; Metazoa; Chordata; Testudines; Emydidae.